AUGACACCCCCCCCCGUCGCCACAACUUCCCUCCCCUGGGAAUCAGCCUGGGCCCCCGCAGGACCGUCCCAUGGGAGCAGGAAGGGGGGGGGGAACAAGCCUCACAUCCUUAUUCUGAAACUGAGAAGAAUCUCCCAGAGGUCCAGGCACCCCCUCUUACUGGGAAGUGGGAGCAAGGCUUCGCUCUCCUCGUCCAACGAAGAGCCCGAGAGAAGCCGAAGCCGCGUCGCCUCGCUCCACCUGUUCAAUCCGGAUUCAAAAGCAGGAAGGCGAACCCGAGGACGAGGCCCCCGCUGCCAUCUGCCGCAACGUAGCGCCACUCCCCCCCCCCCCGCUCGCCGAGGAGGCUCCUCGGGGCGCCAAGCCCUCUCGGGUCCCCGUCCCCCCCGCCAGAGGGAGAGGGGCUCCGGGAGGAGGAGGAGGAGGAGGGAAGCCCGGGACCCGCCCGGGGGUCUCUCCGCCCGCGCACCCACCUUCCGCCGCUUCGCGCUCCUUGCCGCAGGCGACGCAGUUCGGCCGGCCGAGAAGCAGCAGCGGAGGCAGGACGGACUUGCGGCGGCCCAGGGCCUCGCUCCUUCCUUCUCUCGGCGCGUCUGCACGGCUGCCUCGCCCGUCGCGCCUCUGCGCCGCUUGGUCCCCGGCAACGCGGCUCCCUCUCGCUCGCCCGUUCUCUUCGAAAAGGGGCGGCGGCAGCAGCAGCAGCCGGGCAGCCGCGUCCGCCUCCUCCGGCGGCCAAGUCCCGAGCGGGGCUCCUCGCCGCCCGCCCGCCCGCCCUCCUUCCUCCGCUCUCUGCCGGGCCCCGCUCUCUUCCCGCGAAGGGGCGCCGCCGGCUCGGGCCCCUCCGCCCGCCCGCCCGCCCGCCCGCCUUCCUCCGCCUCCCCUCGGCCCCUUCCCUCCUUUGCGCCCCGGGCCUGGCGGCUCCCCCUCCUCUCUCUCGGCAGCCCCCCUGGUCGCGCCGCCAGAGGCCGGCGGGCUCCCUUCAGCGGAGGUUUCGCCUUCCUUCCAGGCCGCACAUCCCUGAAGCCCCGCGCGAGGAGGAGAAGCGGGAGGACUCGGCGCUCGCCCAGGGACUUCCGCGGACUUCCGUCCUGGGCCGCCUGGAAAAGGCCUGAGGCGGCGGCAGCCAUUAUCCCAACUGGAUGA
RNAcentral lists this long non-coding RNA (1143 nucleotides) under Podarcis muralis (Common wall lizard). Its description in RNAcentral is "lncRNA (ENSPMRG00000015481.1)". The record is from RNAcentral. Lineage: Eukaryota; Metazoa; Chordata; Lepidosauria; Squamata; Lacertidae.